GACGAACGCUGGCGGCGUGCUUAACACAUGCAAGUCGAACGAAGAGCGAUGGAAGCUUGCUUCUAUCAAUCUUAGUGGCGAACGGGUGAGUAACGCGUAAUCAACCUGCCCUUCAGAGGGGGACAACAGUUGGAAACGACUGCUAAUACCGCAUACGAUCUGACCUCGGCAUCGAGGAUAGAUGAAAGGUGGCCUCUAUUUAUAAGCUAUCACUGAAGGAGGGGAUUGCGUCUGAUUAGCUAGUUGGAGGGGUAACGGCCCACCAAGGCGAUGAUCAGUAGCCGGUCUGAGAGGAUGAACGGCCACAUUGGGACUGAGACACGGCCCAGACUCCUACGGGAGGCAGCAGUGGGGAAUCUUCCGCAAUGGACGAAAGUCUGACGGAGCAACGCCGCGUGAGUGAUGACGGCCUUCGGGUUGUAAAGCUCUGUUAAUCGGGACGAAAGGCCUUCUUGCGAAUAGUUAGAAGGAUGGACGGUACCGGAAUAGAAAGCCACGGCUAACUACGU
RNAcentral lists this ribosomal RNA (509 nucleotides) under uncultured bacterium. RNAcentral describes it as "partial 16S ribosomal RNA". It matches the Rfam family "Bacterial small subunit ribosomal RNA", at positions 28 to 506 of the family's 1533-position model. The record is from RNAcentral.